GAUGAAGAACGUAGCGAAAUGCGAUAAUUAAUGUGAAUUGCAGAAUUCCGUGAAUCAUCGAGUUUUUGAACGCAUAUUGCGCCCCUUGGUAUUCCGAGGGGCAUGCCUGUCCGAGCGUCAUUGCAACCCUUCAAGCACGGCUUGUGUGUUGGACGGCCGCCCCAGUGUGGGCGGGUCCCAAAUGCAGUGGCGGCGCCGCGAUCCGGGUGCUCGAGUGCAUGGAAACCACGCGCCCGUUAGGCCCCGUCGGGCGCCGGCCGACCUAAUUAUCUUCGUUCUGGUUGACCUCGGAUCAGGUAGGAAUACCCGCUGAACUUAAGCAUAUCAAUAAGCGGAGGA
This 339-nucleotide unclassified non-coding RNA is filed under the name soil metagenome. RNAcentral's name for it is "partial contains 5.8S ribosomal RNA, internal transcribed spacer 2, and large subunit ribosomal RNA". The stretch from base 1 to 120 matches the Rfam family "5.8S ribosomal RNA", at positions 35 to 154 of the family's 154-position model. The record is from RNAcentral.